Dermacentor silvarum is the source of this 540-nucleotide long non-coding RNA. RefSeq lists it as uncharacterized. NCBI's taxonomy places the organism in Eukaryota, Metazoa, Arthropoda, Arachnida, Ixodida, Ixodidae. The record is from RefSeq and is a predicted model, not a curated record. The transcript has 3 exons.
GCAGUGCCUCGUUGCCAGACGCGGUAGAUGGCUUCGUCCAAUAUCGGUGCCGGUGGCGCGGGAUCUGGCCAGGGCCCAAACAAAAAUUCAGAAUCCGGUAGACUUAGCAGUGCAGAGCACAGCGCCCAGGAAAAGUUAGCCUGCAAAAGCAGCUUGCGUGAAUUCGUCAUCGCAGAUGCGGUGUCGCACCCGAAGCUGCCGAGGUCUGGAUGGCUUUUAAAUCCACCACCGGUGGCGCCGAACGUAGCAGUGCCUCGUUGCCAGACGCGGUAGAUGGCUUCGUCCAAUAUCGGUGCCGGUGGCGCGGGAUCUGGCCAGGGCCCAAACAAAAAUCCAGAAUCCGGUAGACUUAGCAGUGCAGAGCACAGCGCCCAGGAAAAGGUAGCCUGCAAAAGCAGCUUGCGUGAAUUUGUCAUCGCAGAUGCGGUGUCGCACCCGAAGCUGCCGAGGUCUGGAUGGCUUUUAAAUCCACCACCGGUGGCGCCGAACGUAGCAGUGCCUCGUUGCCAGACGCGGUAGAUGGCUUCGUCCAAUAUCGGU